UCAGCCGCCGCGGUAAUACGUAGGGGGCGAGCGUUGUCCGGAUUUAUUGGGCGUAAAGGGCGCGUAGGCGGCGCCCCGAGUCGUGCGUGAAAGGCCCUGGCUCAACUGGGGAGAGUCGUGCGAUACUGGGGCGCUCGAGGGCGGAAGAGGGAAGCGGAAUUCCCGGUGUAGUGGUGGAAUGCGUAGAUAUCGGGAGGAACACCAGUGGCGAAGGCGGCUUCCUGGUCCGUACCUGACGCUGAGGCGCGAAAGCGUGGGGAGCGAACUGGAUUAGAUACCCAGGUAGUCCACGCUGUAAACGAUGGGUGCUAGGUGCUGGGGGUAUCGACCCCCUCGGUGCCGGAGCUAACGCAUUAAGCACCCCGCCUGGGGAGUACGGCCGCAAGGCUAAAACUUAAAGGAAUUGGCGGGGGA
Molecule: ribosomal RNA, 414 nt
Filed under: uncultured bacterium
Lineage: Bacteria
Description: bacterial SSU rRNA
Rfam family: Bacterial small subunit ribosomal RNA
Source: RNAcentral